Molecule: transfer RNA, 73 nt
Filed under: Clostridiales bacterium
Lineage: Bacteria; Bacillati; Bacillota; Clostridia; Eubacteriales
Description: tRNA-Phe
Rfam family: tRNA
About the family: Transfer RNA (tRNA) molecules are approximately 80 nucleotides in length. Their secondary structure includes four short double-helical elements and three loops (D, anti-codon, and T loops). Further hydrogen bonds mediate the characteristic L-shaped molecular structure. tRNAs have two regions of fundamental functional importance: the anti-codon, which is responsible for specific mRNA codon recognition, and the 3' end, to which the tRNAs corresponding amino acid is attached (by aminoacyl-tRNA synthetases). tRNAs cope with the degeneracy of the genetic code in two manners: having more than one tRNA (with a specific anti-codon) for a particular amino acid; and 'wobble' base-pairing, i.e. permitting non-standard base-pairing at the 3rd anti-codon position.
Source: RNAcentral
GCUCAGAUAGCUCAGUUGGUAGAGCAGAGGACUGAAAAUCCUCGUGUCGGUGGUUCAAUUCCGCUUCUGAGCA